CGCGUAGGCGGCCACUGCAAGUCGGUUGUGAAAUCUCCGGGCUUAACCCGGAAAGGUCAAUCGAUACUGCAGGGCUAGAGUGCAGAAGGGGCAACUGGAAUUCUCGGUGUAGCGGUGAAAUGCGUAGAUAUCGAGAGGAACACCUGCGGCGAAGGCGGGUUGCUGGGCUGACACUGACGCUGAAGCGCGAAAGGCUAGGGGAGCGAACG
This 209-nucleotide ribosomal RNA is filed under the name uncultured bacterium. Its description in RNAcentral is "partial 16S ribosomal RNA". It matches the Rfam family "Bacterial small subunit ribosomal RNA", at positions 568 to 774 of the family's 1533-position model. The record is from RNAcentral.